GGUGCGUCUGCUCUACCUGGAGUGGGUGGCCAAGCACCGGCCGUCCCGCAACGCGCUCGCGGAAGAGGCGAGCAGGUUCGAGGUGUUCAAGGACAACCUCCGCUACAUCGACGCCCAUAACGCGGCGGCCGACCGCGGGGAGCACGCCUUCCGCCUUGGCCUCAACCGGUUCGCCGCCCUGACCAACGAGGAGUACCGGGCCAAGUAUCUAGGCGUCCGGGCCGCCACGUCCCGCCGGAGGAGGGCCUCAUCGGAGGGCAGCAACCGGUACCGGCUGAGGGACGGCGAUUAUUUGCCUGAUUCCAUCGAUUGGAGGGAGAAGGGCGCUGUUGUCGGCGUUAAAGAUCAAGGCAGCUGCGGUGGGUGCUGAUAUUUUCAUUUCUCCCUGCGUUGACUUCAAUUAGUUGCAAUUUCUGCUCUAUUGUUCUGUUUGCUUUCUGCUAAUAACACUUUAAAUCUGAUAUUAUUUUCAUUUAAUUACAUUUACAUGAAGAUCGAUCUUUUCCUCUCUUUUUUUUCCCUCCUUGUGAAGUUUCCCCUUUUCUUCGGUUUUGACUUUUGGUAAACGACAUGAUUUUGCUUCCUACGAUGUACUAAAGGUGUUGUAUUUUGGAUGAUCUUCGAGUAGAUCUGCUUUCAGAUUCUGUUUCAGCCCCUCUUUUUUGUGUAAACUUUGCUUACUCUACAAAAUUAUUUACUGCUAGUAUCACAUGUAGUUCAUGAUUCAUCUGUUUCAGCCCCCCCUUCUUGUGUAAAUUUUGCUUACUCUACAAAACUAUUAACUGCUAGUAUCACACUUAGUUCAUGAUUCAGGAUCUUAUCCUGUUAGAUCAAGUCACCAAUGAAGGAUUUUUUUGGUUUCAAAGAUCUGAAUUGGCAUGCUGAUGAUAUCUAGAUCUGAUGGUGUCACAGGGAGCUGCUGGGCAUUUUCGACGAUUGCUGCUGUGGAAGGUAUCAACCAGAUCGUGACUGGCGACCUGAUCUCUCUGUCCGAGCAGGAAUUGGUGGACUGUGACACCUACUACAACCAGGGCUGCAACGGGGGGCUCAUGGAUUAUGCCUUUGAGUUCAUCAUCAACAAUGGUGGUAUCGACACCGAUGAGGACUACCCAUACAAAGCCCGAGAUGGAACUUGCGAUACUUACAGGGUGACCUAUUGAUUAGUCAUUUACAACUAGCAACCCCCUUUUUUUCCUGUUGCUUUGUUGUUUGUGGAUGAUGUUCUAAUGAAGUUUGGUGCCCGCCUUUGUCAUGUAGAAAA
This 1261-nucleotide long non-coding RNA is filed under the name Musa acuminata (dwarf banana). RNAcentral's name for it is "long non-coding RNA (MACU_LNC011300)". The record is from RNAcentral. Lineage: Eukaryota; Viridiplantae; Streptophyta; Magnoliopsida; Zingiberales; Musaceae.